AACUCCCUUGCCCUCAGGCCCCCACUUAAAAGGUUUUAAAUUUUUUAAUUGGGGGCUUUUGGGGAAAACUUUUUUUUAAAAAAAAAAAAAACCCUUUCCCCCGGAAAUUUUUUUUUUUUUUUUUUUUUUUUUUUUUUUUUUUUUUUUUUUUUUUUUUUUUUUUUUUUUUUUUUUUUUUUUUAAAAAAAAAAAAUAUUUUUUUC
This 203-nucleotide long non-coding RNA is filed under the name Monodelphis domestica (gray short-tailed opossum). Its description in RNAcentral is "lncRNA (ENSMODG00000049759.1)". Lineage: Eukaryota; Metazoa; Chordata; Mammalia; Didelphimorphia; Didelphidae. The record is from RNAcentral.